AUCUGUCAAAUGUUCAUUGUGGGUUAAACGGGACAGAGCGGCACCGUCAACGACCUGGAGGGGGCGGGGCAUGAAGCGGCUCAUGUGCAUUUAAAGGGCCAGCGCU
This is a long non-coding RNA of Sphaeramia orbicularis (orbiculate cardinalfish), 106 nucleotides long. RefSeq lists it as uncharacterized. The transcript has 3 exons. The record is from RefSeq and is a predicted model, not a curated record. NCBI's taxonomy places the organism in Eukaryota, Metazoa, Chordata, Actinopteri, Kurtiformes, Apogonidae.